This 208-nucleotide ribosomal RNA is filed under the name uncultured bacterium. RNAcentral describes it as "partial 16S ribosomal RNA". It matches the Rfam family "Bacterial small subunit ribosomal RNA", at positions 1291 to 1500 of the family's 1533-position model. The record is from RNAcentral.
GUUCGGAUUGCAGUCUGCAACUCGAGUGCAUGAAGCUGGAAUCGCUAGUAAUCGCGGAUCAGAAUGCCGCGGUGAAUACGUUCCCGGGCCUUGUACACACCGCCCGUCACACCAUGAGAGUUGGGAAUACCCGAAGCCUGUGAGCUAACGAAAGAGGCAGCAGUCGAAGGUAGAAUCAAUGAUUGGGGUGAAGUCGUAACAAGGUAGC